Molecule: ribosomal RNA, 301 nt
Filed under: uncultured bacterium
Lineage: Bacteria
Description: partial 16S ribosomal RNA
Rfam family: Bacterial small subunit ribosomal RNA
Source: RNAcentral
CAGUAGCCACGGUAAUACGUAGGUGGCAAGCGUUGUCCGGAAUUAUUGGGCGUAAAGGGCUCGCAGGCGGUUUCUUAAGUCUGAUGUGAAAGCCCCCGGCUCAACCGGGGAGGGUCAUUGGAAACUGGGAAACUUGAGUGCAGAAGAGGAGAGUGGAAUUCCACGUGUAGCGGUGAAAUGCGUAGAGAUGUGGAGGAACACCAGUGGCGAAGGCGACUCUCUGGUCUGUAACUGACGCUGAGGAGCGAAAGCGUGGGGAGCGAACAGGAUUAGAUACCCCAGUAGUCCCUGUCUCUUAUAU